Molecule: long non-coding RNA, 766 nt
Filed under: Mus pahari (shrew mouse)
Lineage: Eukaryota; Metazoa; Chordata; Mammalia; Rodentia; Muridae
Description: lncRNA (MGP_PahariEiJ_G0006009.1)
Source: RNAcentral
GAGGAUAUCAUGGAACGCAGCUGAUGGUUGGCAUUGUGGGAGUCCCAGAGAAACCACUGGUGAACGUGAAUCUUCAGUUUUGAUAAGCCCUAGAUUUGGAGUGAAGUUAAAACUUGGUACUUUGCAUCAGGAUUAUAGUUUCUUAACAAAGAUUUAGAGUGGUGCAUUUUGAAAGUAUAGCUCAGUUACAGGAGAAAAAUUAACAUUUGGGAGAUAUCAGUACCAUGGGUCAACAACAAAGAACAGAGGCAGGUGUGGAGUGGAACACCCCUGGGCCUUUGAGCUCUUUCUUAUCUCUGGCUCACUGGUUCAACUUGGCUGUUCCAGCUCAAAGCUCCUCAACAAGGUGAGGAAGUCAGGACUUCUCACCUUUAGUUGGAACGAUGGAAGAAAGAAGAAAAGAAUCCAUUCCCGAGAGGAUGCAGCUGCCUCUCUGAAGGAAAGAUCCUGGAGGAGCUAGAAUUGUUAUCAAACUAAAUGUCUCAGGUAGACUAAGAAACUUAAGACAGAAAAGUUGAUUUACUGAUAAAUCCUGUGGGCUGUCAAGAUCUUGUGAGUGUGGAAUAAGAAGAUCAGCACCCCAAACUCAACUCUGUUGGUGUUUACCACUUUGAAGGUUCAGGGGAACUAUACUGCAGAUGUCAUUCUGGCUUCGACAUUUCUGUUCCUCCCUAUUAAGCCCCAUGGGUUACGUCUGUACACUCUCUUCUCCAACAGAGGCUGUUGCCCUGAAUUUUUCUGAUUAAAGGACAUCUUGAUACCAUUG